GGAGGAGGAGGAGGAGAAGAAGCAGGAGGAGGAGAAGAAGAAGAAGCAGGAGGAGGAAGACAAGAUAAGAAGAAGAAGCAGGAGUAGAAGAAGAAGAAUGUGUUUAGUGAUGUGAUUGUAGAGUGUAAAAUGUUUAGCCUAUUUCAGCUAUUUGAAGUUUCAUUGAGAUUAAAACCAGGCUAACAGGGCAGUUCAGAACCUUGUAUGUGCAAUGGAGGAAAAA
Sebastes umbrosus (honeycomb rockfish) is the source of this 223-nucleotide long non-coding RNA. RefSeq lists it as uncharacterized. The transcript has 2 exons. The record is from RefSeq and is a predicted model, not a curated record. Lineage: Eukaryota; Metazoa; Chordata; Actinopteri; Perciformes; Sebastidae.